This 1346-nucleotide ribosomal RNA is filed under the name uncultured bacterium. RNAcentral describes it as "bacterial SSU rRNA". It matches the Rfam family "Bacterial small subunit ribosomal RNA", at positions 28 to 1381 of the family's 1533-position model. The record is from RNAcentral.
GACGAACGCUGGCGGCGUGCUUAACACAUGCAAGUCGAACGGAAAGGCCCUGCUUUUGUGGGGUGCUCGAGUGGCGAACGGGUGAGUAACACGUGAGUAACCUGCCCUUGACUUUGGGAUAACUUCAGGAAACUGGGGCUAAUACCGGAUAGGAGCUCCUGCUGCAUGGUGGGGGUUGGAAAGUUUCGGCGGUUGGGGAUGGACUCGCGGCUUAUCAGCUUGUUGGUGGGGUAGUGGCUUACCAAGGCUUUGACGGGUAGCCGGCCUGAGAGGGUGACCGGCCACAUUGGGACUGAGAUACGGCCCAGACUCCUACGGGAGGCAGCAGUGGGGAAUAUUGCACAAUGGGCGGAAGCCUGAUGCAGCAACGCCGCGUGCGGGAUGACGGCCUUCGGGUUGUAAACCGCUUUCGCCUGUGACGAAGCGUGAGUGACGGUAAUGGGUAAAGAAGCACCGGCUAACUACGUGCCAGCAGCCGCGGUGAUACGUAGGGUGCGAGCGUUGUCCGGAUUUAUUGGGCGUAAAGGGCUCGUAGGUGGUUGAUCGCGUCGGAAGUGUAAUCUUGGGGCUUAACCCUGAGCGUGCUUUCGAUACGGGUUGACUUGAGGAAGGUAGGGGAGAAUGGAAUUCCUGGUGGAGCGGUGGAAUGCGCAGAUAUCAGGAGGAACACCAGUGGCGAAGGCGGUUCUCUGGGCCUUUCCUGACGCUGAGGAGCGAAAGCGUGGGGAGCGAACAGGCUUAGAUACCCUGGUAGUCCACGCUGUAAACGGUGGGUACUAGGUGUGGGGUCCAUUCCACGGGUUCCGUGCCGUAGCUAACGCUUUAAGUACCCCGCCUGGGGAGUACGGCCGCAAGGCUAAAACUCAAAGGAAUUGACGGGGCCCCGCACAAGCGGCGGAGCAUGCGGAUUAAUUCGAUGCAACGCGUAGAACCUUACCUGGGUUUGACAUGGAUCGGGAGCGCUCAGAGAUGGGUGUGCCUCUUUUGGGGUCGGUUCACAGGUGGUGCAUGGCUGUCGUCAGCUCGUGUCGUGAGAUGUUGGGUUAAGUCCCGCAACGAGCGCAACCCUUGUUCACUGUUGCCAGCACGUUAUGGUGGGGACUCAGUGGAGACCGCCGGGGUCAACUCGGAGGAAGGUGGGGAUGACGUCAAGUCAUCAUGCCCCUUAUGUCCAGGGCUUCACGCAUGCUACAAUGGCUGGUACAGAGAGUGGCGAGCCUGCGAGGGUGAGCGAAUCUCGGAAAGCCGGUCUCAGUUCGGAUUGGGGUCUGCAACUCGACCUCAUGAAGUCGGAGUCGCUAGUAAUCGCAGAUCAGCAACGCUGCGGUGAAGACGUUCCCGGGGCU